ACCUGGUUGGCUCAGUCAGUAGAGCAUGAGACUCACUCUGGAUCUCAGGGUUGUGAGUUCAAGCCCCACAUUGGGUG
Molecule: transfer RNA, 77 nt
Filed under: Felis catus (domestic cat)
Lineage: Eukaryota; Metazoa; Chordata; Mammalia; Carnivora; Felidae
Also listed under: 3 other names
Rfam family: tRNA
About the family: Transfer RNA (tRNA) molecules are approximately 80 nucleotides in length. Their secondary structure includes four short double-helical elements and three loops (D, anti-codon, and T loops).
Source: Rfam by way of RNAcentral